UUUGAUUUAUUUUCAAACCUAUAUUAACCUGUUGGACCUAGAAUGUGGAGUGUGUGCAAAGGUCAUUAUGUUGUGCCUGAAGUUUGGUGAUGAGUUUUCUAGUUCGAAUUCCGAUGCAUAUAUAUCUGAUGGAAAGCUCAUGGUGGUUUUGGGUGCUGAGUAUGCAAAACUAUGUUGUUCUUUGAAGUUGUAUCCCUUGGUGAGGUG
Molecule: long non-coding RNA, 207 nt
Filed under: Trifolium pratense (red clover)
Lineage: Eukaryota; Viridiplantae; Streptophyta; Magnoliopsida; Fabales; Fabaceae
Description: long non-coding RNA (TPRA_LNC014307)
Source: RNAcentral